RNAcentral lists this ribosomal RNA (149 nucleotides) under Aloestrela suzannae. RNAcentral describes it as "5.8S ribosomal RNA". The stretch from base 1 to 85 matches the Rfam family "5.8S ribosomal RNA", at positions 72 to 154 of the family's 154-position model. Rfam says of the family: 5.8S ribosomal RNA (5.8S rRNA) is a component of the large subunit of the eukaryotic ribosome. It is transcribed by RNA polymerase I as part of the 45S precursor that also contains 18S and 28S rRNA. The record is from RNAcentral. Lineage: Eukaryota; Viridiplantae; Streptophyta; Magnoliopsida; Asparagales; Asphodelaceae.
UUGCAGAAUCCCGCGAACCAUCGAGUUUUUGAACGCAAGUUGCGCCCGAGGCCACCCGGCCGAGGGCACGCCUGCCUGGGCGUCACGCCUCGCGUCGCUCCGCCUACCUCGCCCAGAGCACACCGUGCUCCCGCGGCGGCGGGCGGCGG